UUCCCCCAAAUUUUCAACAUCCUGAACGUUCUUGAAUAAUUCUCUUCCGAACGGGUCAAAUUGAAAACCGGCUUUUUCUGCCUCCACGUUUAAUUCCCAAGGCGGUAUAGACAAAUAAUAUUAAAAUUACAUAGCUAUUAGUUACAGCGAAAAACUCUUGACACUGAAACAGUCAUGGCUGUCCUCGAGGAAUUUUUUUCAAAUGAUAGUUAUUAUUUAUUCAGUUUAUACGCCUGCUGACACGAAAGAACGUAYCGUCAAGACACAACACGUUUGCUGGUAACACACAGGUUUUGCUGCUUCAUGUYUCCUGCUUAAAAAGAAUUUUCAAACGGAGUGAUGACCACGUUGCACGUUAACCUGCGAGAAGAGGGUUACAGUUUCUCUCAGUCCCUCCGUACAGCUGAGCGGAACGUUGGUCKGGGGGUUUCUCCCCCUGAAGCGAGGACGAAGGACAGGAAAAAGAACUCUGCUAGCAGGGUAUUGGCACAUAAGUCAUGUACAAAUUGYUGGCUGUUGGUCAGCUUUUUCAGUCUUGAGUUACAAGUUUCCACCAAUAGUAUUGCCAAAAAACAAUAAAAAGUCAACUUGA
Molecule: long non-coding RNA, 592 nt
Organism: Actinia tenebrosa (Australian red waratah sea anemone)
Lineage: Eukaryota; Metazoa; Cnidaria; Anthozoa; Actiniaria; Actiniidae
Source: RefSeq, a predicted model, not a curated record